Molecule: ribosomal RNA, 2316 nt
Filed under: human gut metagenome
Description: bacterial LSU rRNA
Rfam family: Bacterial large subunit ribosomal RNA
Source: RNAcentral
CCCCUGUGAGGGGAGUGAAAUAGAUCCUGAAACCGCAUGCAUACAAGCAGUGGGAGCCGACUAGUUCGGUGACUGCGUACCUUUUGUAUAAUGGGUCAGCGACUUAUAUUCUGUAGCAAGGUUAACCGAAUAGGGGAGCCGAAGGGAAACCGAGUCUUAACUGGGCGUUAAGUUGCAGGGUAUAGACCCGAAACCCGGUGAUCUAGCCAUGGGCAGGUUGAAGGUUGGGUAACACUAACUGGAGGACCGAACCGACUAAUGUUGAAAAAUUAGCGGAUGACUUGUGGCUGGGGGUGAAAGGCCAAUCAAACCGGGAGAUAGCUGGUUCUCCCCGAAAGCUAUUUAGGUAGCGCCUCGUGAAUUCAUCUCCGGGGGUAGAGCACUGUUUCGGCAAGGGGGUCAUCCCGACUUACCAACCCGAUGCAAACUGCGAAUACCGGAGAAUGUUAUCACGGGAGACACACGGCGGGUGCUAACGUCCGUCGUGAAGAGGGAAACAACCCAGACCGCCAGCUAAGGUCCCAAAGUCAUGGUUAAGUGGGAAACGAUGUGGGAAGGCCCAGACAGCCAGGAUGUUGGCUUAGAAGCAGCCAUCAUUUAAAGAAAGCGUAAUAGCUCACUGGUCGAGUCGGCCUGCGCGGAAGAUGUAACGGGGCUAAACCAUGCACCGAAGCUGCGGCAGCGACGCUGAUGCGUUGUUGGGUAGGGGAGCGUUCUGUAAGCCUGCGAAGGUGUGCUGUGAGGCAUGCUGGAGGUAUCAGAAGUGCGAAUGCUGACAUAAGUAACGAUAAAGCGGGUGAAAAGCCCGCUCGCCGGAAGACCAAGGGUUCCUGUCCAACGUUAAUCGGGGCAGGGUGAGUCGACCCCUAAGGCGAGGCCGAAAGGCGUAGUCGAUGGGAAACAGGUUAAUAUUCCUGUACUUGGUGUUACUGCGAAGGGGGGACGGAGAAGGCUAUGUUGGCCGGGCGACGGUUGUCCCGGUUUAAGCGUGUAGGCUGGUUUUCCAGGCAAAUCCGGAAAAUCAAGGCUGAGGCGUGAUGACGAGGCACUACGGUGCUGAAGCAACAAAUGCCCUGCUUCCAGGAAAAGCCUCUAAGCAUCAGGUAACAUCAAAUCGUACCCCAAACCGACACAGGUGGUCAGGUAGAGAAUACCAAGGCGCUUGAGAGAACUCGGGUGAAGGAACUAGGCAAAAUGGUGCCGUAACUUCGGGAGAAGGCACGCUGAUAUGUAGGUGAAGCGACUUGCUCGUGGAGCUGAAAUCAGUCGAAGAUACCAGCUGGCUGCAACUGUUUAUUAAAAACACAGCACUGUGCAAACACGAAAGUGGACGUAUACGGUGUGACGCCUGCCCGGUGCCGGAAGGUUAAUUGAUGGGGUCAGCGCAAGCGAAGCUCUUGAUCGAAGCCCCGGUAAACGGCGGCCGUAACUAUAACGGUCCUAAGGUAGCGAAAUUCCUUGUCGGGUAAGUUCCGACCUGCACGAAUGGCGUAAUGAUGGCCAGGCUGUCUCCACCCGAGACUCAGUGAAAUUGAACUCGCUGUGAAGAUGCAGUGUACCCGCGGCAAGACGGAAAGACCCCGUGAACCUUUACUAUAGCUUGACACUGAACAUUGAGCCUUGAUGUGUAGGAUAGGUGGGAGGCUUUGAAGUGUGGACGCCAGUCUGCAUGGAGCCGACCUUGAAAUACCACCCUUUAAUGUUUGAUGUUCUAACGUUGACCCGUAAUCCGGGUUGCGGACAGUGUCUGGUGGGUAGUUUGACUGGGGCGGUCUCCUCCUAAAGAGUAACGGAGGAGCACGAAGGUUGGCUAAUCCUGGUCGGACAUCAGGAGGUUAGUGCAAUGGCAUAAGCCAGCUUGACUGCGAGCGUGACGGCGCGAGCAGGUGCGAAAGCAGGUCAUAGUGAUCCGGUGGUUCUGAAUGGAAGGGCCAUCGCUCAACGGAUAAAAGGUACUCCGGGGAUAACAGGCUGAUACCGCCCAAGAGUUCAUAUCGACGGCGGUGUUUGGCACCUCGAUGUCGGCUCAUCACAUCCUGGGGCUGAAGUAGGUCCCAAGGGUAUGGCUGUUCGCCAUUUAAAGUGGUACGCGAGCUGGGUUUAGAACGUCGUGAGACAGUUCGGUCCCUAUCUGCCGUGGGCGCUGGAGAACUGAGGGGGGCUGCUCCUAGUACGAGAGGACCGGAGUGGACGCAUCACUGGUGUUCGGGUUGUCAUGCCAAUGGCACUGCCCGGUAGCUAAAUGCGGAAGAGAUAAGUGCUGAAAGCAUCUAAGCACGAAACUUGCCCCGAGAUGAGUUCUCCCUGACUCCUUGA